ACGGAAGGUCCAGGCGUUAUCCGGAUUUAUUGGGUUUAAAGGGAGCGUAGGCUGCCCCUCAAGCGUGUUGUGAAAUGUACCGGCUCAACCGGUGAAUUGCAGCGCGAACUGUGGGGCUUGAGUGUGCGGAAAGUAGGCGGAAUUCAUGGUGUAGCGGUGAAAUGCUUAGAUAUCAUGAAGAACUCCGAUUGCGAAGGCAGCUUACUGCAGCACAACUGACGCUGAGGCUCGAAAGUGCGGGUAUCGAACAG
Molecule: ribosomal RNA, 251 nt
Filed under: uncultured prokaryote
Description: partial 16S rRNA
Rfam family: Bacterial small subunit ribosomal RNA
Source: RNAcentral